Long non-coding RNA from Rhodamnia argentea, 214 nucleotides. RefSeq lists it as uncharacterized. The record is from RefSeq and is a predicted model, not a curated record. Lineage: Eukaryota; Viridiplantae; Streptophyta; Magnoliopsida; Myrtales; Myrtaceae. The transcript has 2 exons.
GCUCUUCAUAUCUCAAACUCCAAAGACGAAGAAUGGCAUCCGGACAUAGUUGCUAAUACUCACAUGACAGAUAAUCCAGGACUCCAUGACACACCGGGUACUACCGACGGGAACUAAUCAUCAAGGAUUAUAUACCAAUAAGGAUCCGCAACCCAUGACAUUCUUUUCUUAGAGAAAGAAAGUUGCCGAUAAACUCACUUGGCAUCGACGAUUG